Molecule: long non-coding RNA, 469 nt
Filed under: Pogona vitticeps (central bearded dragon)
Lineage: Eukaryota; Metazoa; Chordata; Lepidosauria; Squamata; Agamidae
Description: lncRNA (ENSPVIG00000017079.1)
Source: RNAcentral
AUGGAAAUCCCCUACCUGACUCAAGGUACUAGGAGGAGAGCAAGAGGUUCGCUUCUUCCCAGGUUUUCAAAGACAAGCCAGACUUGAUUGAAAGCCUUCGGAGGUGUGGCAAGACCGCAAAGAUGUGCUUACCCACAUUGACCUCAUAUUGGUAUUACCACCUUGAAGAGAAAGACCAGCCACAGUGACCUCAGUGUUUAUCGGUGAUGUUGUUCUCCCAGCCUUUAUGCCUUCCUACGUACUGUCAAUGACUUUCAUGACAAAAGUAUCCUUUGCAUCCAGAUACGCAAGUAUUUGUCAAAGUAAGUUGCCAGAACAAAAACUGCUUCAGAGAGAGACAAGCGUGCCGUCCCUCUCAGCCCCACCAAUCAAAACCAAAUCUAUCAAUUGGUUGAUUAAGCCCUGAAGUUUGACAAAUCUACCAGUUGAGCUGAAUAAACCUUGAAGCUAUACCUAUAAUAAAUAUAAA